UUGGAGGGCAAGUCUGGUGCCAGCAGCCGCGGUAAUUCCAGCUCCAAUAGCGUAUAUUAAAGUUGUUGCAGUUAAAAAGCUCGUAGUUGAAUUUCGGGAUCAGUUGGUCGGUCGUGCCUCGGUACGUACUGGUCAAAUUGAUUCCUACCUUCUGACGAACCACGAUGUCAUUAAUUUGGUGUCGCGGGAAAUCAGGACUGUUACUUUGAAAAAAUUAGAGUGUUUAAAGCAGGCUCGCGCUUGAAUACAUUAGCAUGGAAUAAUGAAAUAGGACGUUUGAUUCUAUUUUGUUGGUUUCUAGGAUCGACGUAAUGAUUAAUAGGGAUAGUUGGGGGCAUUAGUAUUCAAUCGUCAGAGGUGAAAUUCUUGGAUUUAUUGAAGACUAACUACUGCGAAAGCAUUUGCCAAGGAUGUUUUCAUUAAUCAAGAACGAAAGUUAGGGGAUCGAAGACGAUCAGAUACCGUCGUAGUCUUAACCAUAAACUAUGCCGACUAGGCAUCGGAUGAUGUUAAUUUUUUAAUGACUCAUUCGGCGCCUUACGGGAAAC
Molecule: ribosomal RNA, 548 nt
Filed under: uncultured Glomeromycotina
Lineage: Eukaryota; Fungi; Glomeromycota
Description: SSU rRNA
Rfam family: Eukaryotic small subunit ribosomal RNA
Source: RNAcentral